CUAAUGACAGUUCCCCUCAGAUCCAGUUUGCUUGUCAUUUCUGCUGAAAUGCCGAUGUAUUUGGAGAGAACAUUUGCAAAUGGGGAAAAAAUGCCAGUUUCUUGUAUGAAGCUGUGGAGCUCUUCCAGAACCCCCUGGCUGAUUUGGCUGGAGGAGAUGAACCCUUGGCAGGAUUUCCAUCACUGGGGAGUUCUUAAUGAUGCAUAAGGUGAAAUCCUGGUCCCUGUAAAGCUGAUGGAAGUUUUGCUAUUAAUUUCUGUGAGGCCAGGAUUUCACCCUGGAAAGGGAGUCAAAAGUACAGGCAUGCUUUCAGAGACAGAGCGGCUGAUUAAAUACAUCUGGUGCGCUGCUCUUUUAUCAAUCAUUGAUAAAAUAGAGCCUCUUAAAUAUAAACUUUGGGUAAGCUUAACUGCAAAAUUCAAACAUCCUUUUACAAGUCUAAAAAGCAAAAUUUGUCUGCUUUUUGUCUGAAAAGAACAGAAAUCAUGGUAAAAAAAUAACACACACCCAUCCUCAUCUGCUCCAAACUCCUGUAGUAUUUGAUGUUCUGCUGAAAUGUGUAAUUAAAGCACAGAAAAGCCAGUUAAAAUAUUUCUAGAUGAUACAUAAAACUUUAUCCUGUAAGGAUGUCGUCCAAAACUAUGUUCCUUCUCAUUUAAUUCCUGAGCAGCUAAACACCAGCUAGGGGUUCAUCCGGAUUUUGGCAUGGACCGUGCUUUCCCCGGACCACCGGGCACUGCCACUUGGGACAUCCCAGCGGGGCUGUGGUCAGGGAGGGAGCCCUGGCAUCAGGGUGUGUUGCUAUGGAUGGGACCAGCGUGGUGAUGCGCAGGAGGGCAGAGAGGGCUGGAAAAUACUCUCCCAGGCCCGGUGUGUGCCCUGGCACGGCCCGGGUGCGAUGCAGGGGGCACACGCGUGUCCCCCCACCGGGCGCAUCUCUGCCACGGGCAUGAGAACCCUGCGGCGGCCAGCACCGCCGGCCCGGACGAGCCAAACCGCGGAGGGCAGGGCAAGGGAGGAGGCUGUCCCGGCCAGCCCGGCCUCUGAAGGACAGCCUUCCUCCCGGCCGCCCUCCCAAACCGGAGCGGGACCUUCCCCGGAAACUUCCAUGCUAGAAUAUUGUCACCUCCAGUUCAUCAUUCAGCAACAUCUGACACUUCAAAGCCUGGAGCGGCUCUUUCUGCUGCAUGACUCUGCCUUGAAUUGA
This 1207-nucleotide long non-coding RNA is filed under the name Calidris pugnax (ruff). RNAcentral's name for it is "lncRNA (ENSCPUG00000001928.1)". Lineage: Eukaryota; Metazoa; Chordata; Aves; Charadriiformes; Scolopacidae. The record is from RNAcentral.